Molecule: ribosomal RNA, 253 nt
Filed under: uncultured bacterium
Lineage: Bacteria
Description: partial 16S ribosomal RNA
Rfam family: Bacterial small subunit ribosomal RNA
Source: RNAcentral
UACGUAGGGGGCUAGCGUUGUCCGGAAUCAUUGGGCGUAAAGCGCGUGUAGGCGGUCCGGUAAGUCCGCUGUGAAAGUCGAGGGCUCAACCCUCGAAUGCCGGUGGAUACUGUCGGGCUUGAGUACGGGAGAGGCGAGUGGAAUUCCUGGUGUAGCGGUGAAAUGCGUAGAGAUGUGGAGGAACACCUGUGGCGAAGGCGCCUUGCUGGCCGAUUUCUGACGCUGAGGCGCGAAAGCGUGGGGAGCAAACAGG